CGACGGCCUGCUCGGCGGUUCUCGCGAGCUGACCCGCCGGGUCGGCGGCGGUCUGCGGGCCCGCGGCUCAGCGCCGCGGCUGGCGC
Molecule: transfer RNA, 86 nt
Filed under: Mycobacterium senuense
Lineage: Bacteria; Bacillati; Actinomycetota; Actinomycetes; Mycobacteriales; Mycobacteriaceae
Description: Mycolicibacter senuensis tRNA-Gly
Source: RNAcentral